This 253-nucleotide ribosomal RNA is filed under the name uncultured bacterium. RNAcentral describes it as "partial 16S ribosomal RNA". It matches the Rfam family "Bacterial small subunit ribosomal RNA", at positions 524 to 776 of the family's 1533-position model. The record is from RNAcentral.
UACGUAGGGAGCAAGCGUUGUCCGGAAUCAUUGGGCGUAAAGGGUUAGUAGGUGGCCAACUAAGUCAGACGUGAAAUCCCUCAGCUUAACUGGGGAACUGCGUCUGAGACUGAUUGGCUCGAGGACAGGAGAGGAACGCGGAAUUCCAGGUGUAGCGGUGAAAUGCGUAGAUAUCUGGAGGAACACCGGUGGCGAAGGCGGCGGUCUGGACUGUAUCUGACACUGAAUAACGAAAGCCAGGGGAGCAAACGGG